RNAcentral lists this ribosomal RNA (447 nucleotides) under uncultured bacterium. RNAcentral describes it as "partial 16S ribosomal RNA". It matches the Rfam family "Bacterial small subunit ribosomal RNA", at positions 29 to 523 of the family's 1533-position model. The record is from RNAcentral.
AGCGAACGCUGGCGGCAGGCUUAACACAUGCAAGUCGAACGCCCCGCAAGGGGAGUGGCAGACGGGUGAGUAACACGUGGGAACGUACCCUUUGGUUCGGAAUAACUUGGGGAAACUCAAGCUAAUACCGGAUAAGCCCUUAUGGGGAAAGGUUUACUGCCGAAGGAUCGGCCCGCGUCUGAUUAACUAGUUGGUGAGGUAAGGGCUCACCAAGGCGACGAUCAGUAGCUGGUCUGAGAGGAUGAUCAGCCACACUGGGACUGAGACACGGCCCAGACUCCUACGGGAGGCGGCAGUGGGGAUUCUUGGACAAUGGGCGCAAGCCUGAUCCAGCCAUGCCGCGUGAGUGAAGAAGGUCUUAGGAUUGUAAAGCUCUUUUGCCAGGGACGAUAAUGACGGUACCUGGAGAAUAAGCCCCGGCAAACCUCGUGCCAGCAGCCGCAGUAA